This 340-nucleotide unclassified non-coding RNA is filed under the name Bombus terrestris (buff-tailed bumblebee). Its description in RNAcentral is "misc RNA ENSBTSG00005024450.1". The record is from RNAcentral. Lineage: Eukaryota; Metazoa; Arthropoda; Insecta; Hymenoptera; Apidae.
CGAAUGAACCGUAGUGAACGAUCAAACGACACUUAAUAAAGAUGUAAACUGACUGCCUCAGCGACAUCUUUCGAACAUUUUUCUAUUUAUUGAAUGGCGCGCCUAAUAAAACCGAUAUAUCUCUAUAAACGAUAGACACUCGUUUCAUCCUGAACAAUUAUAGGGUUGAAUAUACAUAAAAGUCUUGUGUAUUAGUUAGACAUAAAAUAACAUCCGAAAUCUUAAUGCUAGUAACAAGUGAAUUCACAUGUUGACUACAAUCUAACAAAAUAAGAAAUGUAAACAUAGUACAAAUGCACAGGAUGUAUGAUGAAUGGAUGUACAAUAAAUAGCAAAAAUC